UGGCUUUACUCUGGGCCACGCCAGCCAUGAACCUUUCUACUCUGUUAUUAUUGUUUUGGUACGGCUUGCGCAUGCGCAUAACGAAAGGCUCACAUUGUAAACAAACCGUUAACUCGAUGGAAAUUACGAGGACUUGAAGGAUUUCUGUAUUUGGGGACAUUCAAUGGCCAAUGAUGACAAAAUGGCGGAUUUCCCGAUGGAUUUUGUUUCUUCUCGAGUUUCUAUCCCCAAAAGAGGCGUGCGCGGGGGGCGGGGGAAUGAGAGGAGAACUCAACCCGAGAAUUCGACGUAUAACCUCAAAAUACAAAAAUUAUUAGGGAAGAGAGAGAGGUUUUUGAUGGAAUGGAGUUGAGAAGAUGGGAUCAAUGAAAAUGAGUAAACAGAUUGAGGGUGGCGCCUACGCCAUGACGCUGGUAAGAUGGACUUUUGCUUGUUGAAUCAUCAAUAUCUGUUGACCUCACAAUCCGAUUGGAGUGAGUCAGGUCGCAUUCUGAAGCGUGAUAAAUAUAUUUUAAGUGAAAAAAAAAUUAGCGAAUUUCACUCUGCCGAUCUCCAAAUAUUUACUAUUUAAAAAAACUCAUUUUACCAUGCGAUUUUAUAUUUUCGAGUGUUCUCAUUAAUUUUUUGCUCAAAGAACCAAAGGAAAACGGUGAGCAAGCGACCGUUGUUAUUAUCAUAAAAAAAACCAACGUUAUAAGUUAUUCAUACCGAAUAUAUACCCAUAUACUGUACAUAAUAGAAUUUAUGAAAUAAAUGAACUUCUUGAUAACUACAGAAAGAUGGAUUGAUGGAGGAGUGGGGAUUCUUCUCUGGGCUCUUCGUUUCCGUUGUGUUCUCUCUGUUUGGUCGGUUCAGCUUGGCGAUAUCGUGGGAAGAAAAAUAAGGGGGUUCGGGAUGUGAUGUACAUGUUUGGGAAAGGGCAUGGGGGGAGUGUCUGGAUGGCGCGGAUCAAGGUUACACGAGAAUCGACGGAUACGUCAUGUUGGGGAAGUAUAACUUUACAGGUUUUCCUCGUGUGGGGGAAAUUUUUCCGGAUUGACUAGAGAGGCCUUUUCCUUAGUGCCGAAACACAGGUGGCUCUGGGCGCCUGGACCAUCAGAGUUAUUCCAUAAACGUGCGUCAGGUAUCGAAUACCUUUGAUGACGCAGGGCCAGAUUUUCGUCUAAGCAAAUAACGAAUGCGGCGUUUUUCAUGAACAAUUCAGGGUUGACGAUCUCCAUGACGAGAUGGGGAUCGAGGCAGUUCGCCUAGCAACGCGGGCGAAAGCACAAUUAGGAUCUUCCAUCGAUUAUUCAUUAAAUUCAAUACAAUUCUGUGUGCAUUCAUCUUGAAUAGUAUGUUGGUAAUCAACUUUGCAAUAUACAAGCAUUAUUCUGAAUUGAGAAUGAAAUACGCCAACAUAGUUGUCAAAUAUUUACUACACUCCUAUAAAUUGAUAUUGCAAUUAAUUUUUAUUUCAUCAAAAACUUAUCUGAAUAAAGUAUCAACGUAAUUCUCUCUUGUUCAUUAAUAUUGGCUUUACGUUGACUAUAAUAUUUUUUUCACAGCCACCGUAGCGAUUGCUUU
Long non-coding RNA from Diachasmimorpha longicaudata, 1566 nucleotides. RefSeq lists it as uncharacterized. NCBI's taxonomy places the organism in Eukaryota, Metazoa, Arthropoda, Insecta, Hymenoptera, Braconidae. The transcript is spliced from 4 exons. The record is from RefSeq and is a predicted model, not a curated record.